RNAcentral lists this ribosomal RNA (305 nucleotides) under uncultured bacterium. Its description in RNAcentral is "bacterial SSU rRNA". It matches the Rfam family "Bacterial small subunit ribosomal RNA", at positions 334 to 655 of the family's 1533-position model. The record is from RNAcentral.
UAAGCCUACGGGGGGCAGCAGUGGGGAAUAUUGCACAAUGGGGGAAACCCUGAUGCAGCAACGCCGCGUGAGUGAAGAAGUAUUUCGGUAUGUAAAGCUCUAUCAGCAGGGAAGAACAAAGACAGUACCUGACCAAGAAGCCCCGGCUAACUACGUGCCAGCAGCCGCGGUAAUACGUAGGGGGCAAGCGUUAACCGGAUUCACUGGGCGUAAAGGGAGCGCAGGCGGCACGGCAAGUCUGGUGUGAAAGCCCGGGGCCCAACCCCGGGACUGCAUUGGAAACUGCCGGGCUGGAGUGCCGGAGG